Molecule: ribosomal RNA, 456 nt
Filed under: uncultured bacterium
Lineage: Bacteria
Description: bacterial SSU rRNA
Rfam family: Bacterial small subunit ribosomal RNA
Source: RNAcentral
GACGAACGCUGGCGGCGUGCUUAACACAUGCAAGUCGAACGAUGAAGCUGGAGCUUGCUCCGGUGGAUUAGUGGCGAACGGGUGAGUAACACGUGAGCAAUCUGCCCUUGACUCUGGGAUAACUGCGGGAAACUGUAGCUAAUACCGGAUACGACACCUUGGGGCAUCCCAGGGUGUGGAAAGAAUUUCGGUCAAGGAUGAGCUCGCGGCCUAUCAGCUAGUUGGUGAGGUAAUGGCUCACCAAGCCAACGAUCUGUAGCUGGUCUGAGAGGACGACCAGCCACACUGGAACUGAGACACGGUCCAGACUCCUACGGGAGGCAGCAGUGGGGAAUUUUGCACAAUGGGGGCAACCCUGAUGCAGCAACGCCGCGUGAGUGAUGAAGCAGUUUAUCUGUGUAAAGCUCUGUUGGGAGGGACGAACUAGCUGGUUAGUUGCCAGCUUUGACGGUACCU